RNAcentral lists this unclassified non-coding RNA (316 nucleotides) under uncultured Thelephoraceae. RNAcentral's name for it is "sequence contains 5.8S rRNA gene". The record is from RNAcentral. Lineage: Eukaryota; Fungi; Basidiomycota; Agaricomycetes; Thelephorales; Thelephoraceae.
GAACGCACCUUGCGCCCUUUGGCUAUUCCGAAGGGCAUGCCUGUUUGAGUAUCAUGAACACCUCAACUCUCAUGGUUUGCCGUGAUGAGCUUGGACUUUGGGGGUCUUGCUGGCCUACGGUCAGCUCCCCUAAAAUGAAUCAGCUUGCCAGUGUUUGGUGGGAUCACAGGUGUGAUAACUAUCUACGCUUGUGGCCUUCCACCAAUUAACUUCCAGCAAUGGAGGUUCGCUGGAGCUCAUAAAUGUCUCUCCUCAGUGAAGACAGCUUUUUGAACGUUUGAUCUCAAAUCAGGUAGGACUACCCGCUGAACUUAAG